This is a small nucleolar RNA of Psammomys obesus (fat sand rat), 143 nucleotides long. RefSeq annotates it as small nucleolar RNA SNORA48. NCBI's taxonomy places the organism in Eukaryota, Metazoa, Chordata, Mammalia, Rodentia, Muridae. The transcript has a single exon. The record is from RefSeq and is a predicted model, not a curated record.
UCCCCCUGGCAAUGGGCAAGGAAAUACCUUAAUGGUGAUGUUUUUCUUAUAUCAGCCAGGGCAGAGCAGAUGGCAAUCUUUUGUUCAUCCUAGCUUUAUACUUAGUUUGGUGGCCAAAGCUGUCUUACAUCUAGGACUCAUAA